GAUGAACGCUAGCUACAGGCUUAACACAUGCAAGUCGAGGGGAAACGACAUCGAAAGCUUGCUUUUGGUGGGCGUCGACCGGCGCACGGGUGAGUAACGCGUAUCCAACCUGCCCACCACUUGGGGAUAACCUUGCGAAAGUAAGACUAAUACCCAAUGAUAUCUCUAGACGACAUCUGAAAGGGAUUAAAGAUUUAUCGGUGAUGGAUGGGGAUGCGUCUGAUUAGCUUGUUGGCGGGGUAACGGCCCACCAAGGCAACGAUCAGUAGGGGUUCUGAGAGGAAGGUCCCCCACAUUGGAACUGAGACACGGUCCAAACUCCUACGGGAGGCAGCAGUGAGGAAUAUUGGUCAAUGGGCGAGAGCCUGAACCAGCCAAGUAGCGUGCAGGAUGACGGCCCUAUGGGUUGUAAACUGCUUUUAUAAGGGAAUAAGUGAGAGUCGUGACUCUUUUUGCAUGUACCUUAUGAAUAAGGACCGGCUAAUUCCGUG
This 491-nucleotide ribosomal RNA is filed under the name uncultured bacterium. Its description in RNAcentral is "bacterial SSU rRNA". It matches the Rfam family "Bacterial small subunit ribosomal RNA", at positions 28 to 507 of the family's 1533-position model. The record is from RNAcentral.